This 233-nucleotide long non-coding RNA is filed under the name Vitis vinifera (wine grape). RNAcentral describes it as "long non-coding RNA (VVIN_LNC005165)". Lineage: Eukaryota; Viridiplantae; Streptophyta; Magnoliopsida; Vitales; Vitaceae. The record is from RNAcentral.
GUGAAGGGACUCUCUUCAACCAAGGUAGAAGAAGGGGAUCAAUGAUUCAACAAAAGAGAUUUGAGACUUGUGAAAAGCGAUGAGAAUCUAAACAAAGGCAUGAGAAGCAAAGUGUAAGCAUGAGAGAGGAGUGAAUGGAAGCUAUGGAGAAGGUUAGAGAGAAAGCAACUAUGAAGAAGAGGGUUUGGAGUUUUGUUUUCAAGUCCAAACGAAGAUUGGAACUCAAACAAGUG